RNAcentral lists this ribosomal RNA (429 nucleotides) under Pseudomonadota bacterium. RNAcentral's name for it is "Proteobacteria bacterium partial 16S ribosomal RNA". It matches the Rfam family "Bacterial small subunit ribosomal RNA", at positions 355 to 776 of the family's 1533-position model. Lineage: Bacteria; Pseudomonadati; Pseudomonadota. The record is from RNAcentral.
UGGGGAAUAUUGGACAAUGGGCGAAAGCCUGAUCCAGCCAUGCCGCGUGUGUGAAGAAGGUCUUCGGAUUGUAAAGCACUUUAAGUUGGGAGGAAGGGCAGUAAGCGAAUACCUUGCUGUUUUGACGUUACCGACAGAAUAAGCACCGGCUAACUCUGUGCCAGCAGCCGCGGUAAUACAGAGGGUGCAAGCGUUAAUCGGAAUUACUGGGCGUAACGCGCGCGUAGGUGGUUCGUUAAGUUGAAUGUGAAAGCCCCGGGCUCAACCUGGGAACUGCAUCCAAAACUGGCGAGCUAGAGUAGGGCAGAGGGUGGUGGAAUUUCCUGUGUAGCGGUGAAAUGCAUAGAUAUAGGAAGGAACACCAGUGGCGAAGGCGACCACCUGGGCUCAUACUGACACUGAGGUGCGAAAGCGUGGGGAGCAAACAGG